CGAAUGCCAGGUCCAAAAGUUUCCCAGCAGAACAUCGCACCACUAUAAGAUGUUACGUGACAAUAACAACAUGGACUACUACGUGAAGACAGCUGAGGAGUGGGUCGUUGCAGCAAACUAGCAGAGGUGGUUUGCGAAGUGUGUGGAAAUACUUCACUAAAGAAGAAGCUCAUACUACCAGGUCGGUCCUGAAAUACAACAAAAGUACUACUGCAGUGCAAACUCAUCUGAAAAGGAAUGCGCUAACGCUAGCAAAGGAAUGGACCAAAUACUCUGGACAGCAGCCAAUUAACAACUUCACCAAAGACAGAGAGAUGGAGGCUCCAAAUGGACAAUUUACUGAGUGAUGGAUUCCCAAAUGAAGAGGCAUCCUCUCCUCGCUUCAGCCUGUUCCUCCUGCCUGCAGAGAGAAACGUAGACCGCUGGCUGCCACGCCGGGAGCCCAUUAUGGAAUCAACCACUGCUGUUUGGAGCCCGCUGGGGGAUCUAAGUAUAUACCCAUUAUGUCAUUGCCUUAUGUGGAAAAAGAUUCUUUGUGCAUCAAUUUUUGCUUGUUUACUUCUUCCAACCUGGAACCUUUUAUUUUUCUCUUUUUAUUUUUGCAUUUACUGUCUUGUUAGCAUCCCAGCGCUGUCUACAGCUGUGAAUUUGUUUGAAAGGAUGUGCAUUGACACAUGCAUGGAGGUUAAUCGUGCCAAAUGUUGCACUCGAAGUU
Long non-coding RNA from Mugil cephalus (flathead mullet), 715 nucleotides. RefSeq lists it as uncharacterized. The transcript is spliced from 3 exons. Lineage: Eukaryota; Metazoa; Chordata; Actinopteri; Mugiliformes; Mugilidae. The record is from RefSeq and is a predicted model, not a curated record.